UACGUAGGCAGCGAGCGUUGUUCGGAGUUACUGGGCGUAAAGAGUGCGUAGGCGGUUUUCUAAGUUUGGUGUGAAAUCUCCCGGCUUAACUGGGAGGGUGCGCCGAAGACUGGAAGGCUUGAGUAUGGGAGAGGUAAGCGGAAUUCCUGGUGUAGCGGUGAAAUGCGUAGAUAUCAGGAGGAACACCGGUGGCGAAGGCGGUUCUCUGGGCAUGUCCUGACGCUGAGGAGCGAAAGUGUGGGGAGCGAACAGG
Molecule: ribosomal RNA, 253 nt
Filed under: uncultured bacterium
Lineage: Bacteria
Description: partial 16S ribosomal RNA
Rfam family: Bacterial small subunit ribosomal RNA
Source: RNAcentral